GUCCACGCCGUAAACGAUGGAUACUAGCUGUUGGGAGCAAUUUCAGUGGCUAAGCGAAAGUGAUAAGUAUCCCACCUGGGGAGUACGAACGCAAGUUUGAAACUCAAAGGAAUUGACGGGGCCCGCACAAGCGGUGGAGCAUGUGGUUUAAUUCGAUGAUACGCGAGGAACCUUACCAAGGCUUAAAUGUAGAUUGACCGGUUUGGAAACAGAUCUUUCGCAAUACAAUUUACAAGGUGCUGCAUGGUUGUCGU
This 254-nucleotide ribosomal RNA is filed under the name uncultured bacterium. RNAcentral's name for it is "partial 16S ribosomal RNA". It matches the Rfam family "Bacterial small subunit ribosomal RNA", at positions 793 to 1055 of the family's 1533-position model. The record is from RNAcentral.